This is a non-coding RNA of Dermacentor albipictus, 700 nucleotides long. The record is from RefSeq and is a predicted model, not a curated record. Lineage: Eukaryota; Metazoa; Arthropoda; Arachnida; Ixodida; Ixodidae.
CGCUUUGCGGAACUGCUAACAACGCCGAAUAGCCAUAUAGGUGCCUACAAAAUGCUUCACAGUACCUAGAGUCCCUCAGUACGGGGGAUCUGUGCAGUUUUAUCUCUCAAUUUAUAUGCAUUUUUCGCCUUUCCUUGAAUAUCCGAGUAGCCUGACGUCGCAUGCAUUUUUUUCAUUUUCAGAGGCCUAAUACUCAUUCGUAUUUCACUGCUGCCGCCUUCUUUAUCCUUUUUUUUUCUCAAGGUGGCUGAGAUGAAGUGGACACUGCGGUCUCUGCCAUUUCAGGGCCACCCGGAUGAAUUUGCAAGAGAUGUAAGUGGCUCGAUGGAUAUUACUGUGAGCACCUGGGCUCUAUAAGGCACCAAGCCUUUCAUAUUGGCUCAGCUGCCAUUGUUUCCUCUGCAUCUAUUUGAAGAGACAAUCAUCACGUGACAAAGCAACACCGAAAGCCCUUGCACUCCACUAUUACCAGAACCACUUUAAUUGGUACAGUCGUUUCACGAAAUCCUGGACCCGUCAACCAUGUUUCUUAGAGCCCAUGGUUUCUUCCGUGUAAACAUGGCGCAGAUGAUUUCGAUGUGUGCAGCGGUGAUAACAUACACUGUUAUCCUUAUACAAACAAGUCAAAGUGUCAAGGGUUAACGUCGGCAAGCUUUAGAUGUUCCAUUAAGAAAAAUAAAAGCCGCACGUACAAACGCUA